RNAcentral lists this ribosomal RNA (732 nucleotides) under uncultured Hafnia sp. Its description in RNAcentral is "bacterial SSU rRNA". It matches the Rfam family "Bacterial small subunit ribosomal RNA", at positions 8 to 729 of the family's 1533-position model. Lineage: Bacteria; Pseudomonadati; Pseudomonadota; Gammaproteobacteria; Enterobacterales; Hafniaceae. The record is from RNAcentral.
AGAGUUUGAUCAUGGCUCAGAUUGAACGCUGGCGGCAGGCCUAACACAUGCAAGUCGAGCGGUAGCACAAGAGAGCUUGCUCUCUGGGUGACGAGCGGCGGACGGGUGAGUAAUGUCUGGGAAACUGCCUGAUGGAGGGGGAUAACUACUGGAAACGGUAGCUAAUACCGCAUGACGUCUUCGGACCAAAGUGGGGGACCUUCGGGCCUCACGCCAUCAGAUGUGCCCAGAUGGGAUUAGCUAGUAGGUGGGGUAAUGGCUCACCUAGGCGACGAUCUCUAGCUGGUCUGAGAGGAUGACCAGCCACACUGGAACUGAGACACGGUCCAGACUCCUACGGGAGGCAGCAGUGGGGAAUAUUGCACAAUGGGCGCAAGCCUGAUGCAGCCAUGCCGCGUGUAUGAAGAAGGCCUUCGGGUUGUAAAGUACUUUCAGCGAGGAGGAAGGCAUUAAGGUUAAUAACCUUGGUGAUUGACGUUACUCGCAGAAGAAGCACCGGCUAACUCCGUGCCAGCAGCCGCGGUAAUACGGAGGGUGCAAGCGUUAAUCGGAAUUACUGGGCGUAAAGCGCACGCAGGCGGUUUGUUAAGUCAGAUGUGAAAUCCCCGAGCUUAACUUGGGAACUGCAUUUGAAACUGGCAAGCUAGAGUCUUGUAGAGGGGGGUAGAAUUCCAGGUGUAGCGGUGAAAUGCGUAGAGAUCUGGAGGAAUACCGGUGGCGAAGGCGGCCCCC